RNAcentral lists this unclassified non-coding RNA (321 nucleotides) under Hevea brasiliensis (rubber tree). Lineage: Eukaryota; Viridiplantae; Streptophyta; Magnoliopsida; Malpighiales; Euphorbiaceae. The record is from RNAcentral.
CAACAAUCUGUUAUUGCUACAUUUCUAAGGUGCAACACAAGCCUUAAUUUCAGAUCUUUCUACUUUUUUUUUUUUGGGGGUUUUUGUUGAAUUAUUUAUCAUGUCACUGUAAUUUUGUUCCUGCGCUUGAAUUCGCAAGAUCUAGAGAGGGAAAAUGGCAACAAUCGAUGAACCUUUGUACCCAAUUGCUGUUCUUAUUGAUGAGCUCAAAAACGAGGACAUUCAGCUCCGUUUGAACUCAAUUCGUAGGCUUUCUACAAUUGCGCGUGCACUUGGGGAGGAGAGGACCCGGAAGGAAUUGAUUCCUUUCUUAAGUGAGAA